This is a long non-coding RNA of Marmota monax (woodchuck), 5698 nucleotides long. RefSeq lists it as uncharacterized. Lineage: Eukaryota; Metazoa; Chordata; Mammalia; Rodentia; Sciuridae. The record is from RefSeq and is a predicted model, not a curated record. The transcript is spliced from 3 exons.
AUUAGAUUGGGCUGAUGUUCUUUGGGGAGGAAGAUCACAGAGGUGAUGUGCCAUUGUUAUAUCAUAUCAAGGGUAUGUGCCAUGGAAAUGCCCUAUUCCUAAUGAUGUUAAUAUUCAUAACCUGGUUAAAAUAGUGGUUGCUUGGUUUCUCUACUAUAAAAUUAUCUCCUACACCCACACCACACAUACAGCUUUCAAAACUCUUUAGAAGCAAGUCACUAAGCAUAGGCAAUAUUUAGAGAUAGUUGAAUACUUGUAGGGAGUAGGAUGUACAUAAAUUACUGGAAAUUUUUCUGUAUACCAGAUAUGCCUAAUCUACCCCAUUUAAUUAUUUAUUAAAUCAUUUAUUUAUAUUGGUGACUUAUGACUACUUAAGUUAUACUUUGGCUUAUAAUCUAAAACUACAUAAUUUGUAAUUUUGUUCAAAUCAUUAAAACUCUGACAUUUUAGAGGUCUUCUAGGUUGGGUCCUGUGUGCCUUUUUCAUAAUACUUUCAUUUUUGAAGUAGUUAGGCUAGCUCUCAGCAUGACUUUUCAUUGUUUACUUUUUCUUGGGGUUAAUUGAGUUUCUUGGGUUUGUGAGUUAGUAGUUUCCUAGAGACACUGUAACAAAUUGUCAGAAUUUGGGUGGUUUAAAACAACAUAAAUUUAUUAUCUCACAGUGACAGGGCAAAGAAAUUUAAACUCAGGGUGUCAGCAUGACCAACUCCCCCCUGAAAGGCCUAGGGAAGUGUCCCUCCUUGCUUUGUCUAGGUUCAGGUGGUUGCCUUGAGUCACUCCAGUUUCUCCCUCUGCUUUCAUAUGGCCUUCAUACCUGAAUAUAUGUCCAAUUUUUUCUAUCUUUAUAAAAACACAGGUAAUUGAAUUAGAUAGCCUAAUCCAGAAUGAUCUCAUCUUGAUUAACUACAUUACAAAUUUUCUGUUUGUAAGUAAGGUCACAAUCAGGAUUAAGAUGGACUCAACUUUGGUGCAUGUGUUGAGAGGAGGAUAGCAAAUUAUUCAAGUCAUUGGAGUUAGUAUUAUAGCUUUCAUUAAACUUGGAAAAUGUUUUGCCAAAUGUUUUUCUUCUAGUAUUUUUUCUUCAUCUCCCCCUUCUGGAAUAUUAUUAUACAAAUGUUAAGCUAUUUUAUAUACUCUCAGGUCAUUGAUACUCUGAUCUUUUAUUUUCCUUUUUUCUUUCUGUGAAUCAUUAUAUUUUUAUAUCUUUAAGAUCACCAACCUUAUCUUUUACAGUGGCUAAUCUGAUUUUAAUCCCAUUUAGUGUUUUUGUUUGUUUGUAUUUUCACAUUUCAAGUAUUCCAGCUCUAAAAUUUUCAUUUCAACCUUUGAAAAUAUUUUCCAUUUCUUUUCUUAUGAUGCUUAUUUUAUGCAUUGAUUUCCUUAAAUCCAUUAAAUAUAUUUAUAAGGCCAUUUCAAUGUCUUUGUCUCCUAAUUCUGUCAUCUCUGCUCUUUGAGAUCUGCUUCUAUUGUUUUAUUUUUUUCUUCUGGUUUUGAAUCAAUUUUCUUCCUUUGCAAAAGCUUUAUUUUUAUUGAAUGAUAGAUAUUGUGAUUUUUUUUUGUUUUGUUUUUGCUGUUUACUGGGUUUGGUUCUGUCCCUUGAAAUCAUGUUGGAUUUUGUUCUGGUGUAAAGUCAAUUUAGGAUCAGUUGCAUUCUUUCAAGUCUUUUGUUUUGAACUUUGUUAGGGCACAUUCAGAGCAGCCUUGAGUUAGAGGCAAUGUAGCACCAGAACUAAGAUAGUACUAAUCUGUAGACUCUACUUGAUGCCUUCAUAUUAUGAGGCUUUAACAGUGGCUGGUAGGACAUAAGCUAUUCUUGGCCCUGUGUGAAUCCUAGAAUUUGUUUCAAAUUUUCAAUUGCUUUCUAAAACUCAUCCUUGGCUUCUUAAAAAUUAUGCAGACAUUUAAAUAAAGUCAAAUACAGAAUACAAAACUCUUGAUAAAUGUGAUUUCCAAUUCACCUUCCAAUGUAAGUAUUCAUAGGAUAACCAGUCUUCAAAAAGUUUAUGAAGCCAUAGAAUUAUAGUCCAAAAAAAACUUUCUCCAUGUGUUUGGUCCAACUCAACAUCUAUGGUGCUUUAGUUUCUUCUAUGGCAGUCACAUCAACUGUCAUCUAGUCUUAAGUUAAGCAUCCCAGUGAUAGAAAUCCCUAAAGAUAUUUGAAUUAAGUUAUUAGAAUCCUUGUGAGUCAUCUCUUUGCCAUGGUAUAUUUGUCUUUCCUCAGCUUUUACAUGCGACAUAAUAUUGAGCCCUGUUACAACAAAUGAUGGGAUUCUCCAAUUGUCUUUGAACUUACAUCAUCAAUUCUGCAUACAUAGUGCUAUCUUGUUAAUUAAUUAUUGCCCAGGAGCUCUUUUUUCUUUAUAUAUAUGCACCUCUGAUCUUCUACUUACUAACAUCCUAUUCUAUACACAUAUCCCUCCACCUCCCUUCAUCAAGACUGAUCUAUAUCUUCUCUCAUAACCUGGACCUCUGAGAUACAAGUGUUAACUCAUUUACAAAUGUUUUUAUCUUGACACUCUUUAAUUUCUUACCUAGGGAAUGAGUAGCCUGUGAAUUUUAGGGGCACUGAGAAAUCCAAUAAGGGAUGCUCUGUAAAUGAUGAUACUUCUUGGCAGCUACAUCUUGACAUUAUCUGUUCAAUUUUAAUAACCUGUCCCUGGCUAAUAACUAUUUCCAUGGGAAUGUCUGUGUGCUUGUGUUGGGACAUGAGCAUGCAAGACGGAAGCAAAGAUGUGAGCUAAAGAAAGAGAGGUAUCAUGAUUACUUUUGAUUAAAGAGGAGAUUUCAAGUAGGUCUGUCUCGGGAUGUUACUAAAACAGGAAACCAAUGAAUAUUCCUUUAUCCUGAAAUCCUAUAAACAGGCAUUAGCAUUAAAUAACUUCCUAACUUGAUCUAGUGAUUGUCAUCAAAUUUCUUCUAAGGAUCAAAUUAAUACAAUGUGGCUUAAAUAGCAUUGACCUUUAAAUACUGUUAAAUCCCAUUGCUAUCCUUCAUUUUCCCUUUUGAGUUUACAUUUUUAAGUGGCAUUAAAGCUACAUAUACUUAGAAAUAUUUUUAUCUUUUUUUCUUUUACUAACCAAGGACAAAUAUAACAAAACAGUACUAAAAAGUAAAGAAUGAAAGGUUUGGGGCAUUUUAAGAGCCAGGGACAAUAGAUGGUAGAGAGAUACAGGGGUGCAAGAAUAGUCUACAUCACUAAAGAUAAGAUAGGCUGUGAGUACACAGCAAAACUGAAUUGUGUAUUGUAGAAAACACAGACUUUCAGAGCUGGAGUAGAUUGAAGUUCAGAUGCUGCCUACACAAAACUAGAACCCAUACUCACCUAUAUGCACAACUGAUUAAGACUUAACUUUGUGCCACAUUUCAGCAUGUUAAUCCCAGACCUCCCAGCAUCCUGGAAACAUUGCUGUAAUCAUUUUUACAGCAUCCUGUUUGUGGAGUUAGGUUACAAAUAUUAUGGGUCCUGUUAUACAAUUGAAAAGUUGAGUUGAAGGGAGGUUAUGCAGUUUGCUCACGGUUGGAAAUUGGUAAUUGAGAUCAAGUGCAAACUGGAAUAGACCCAGAAAGAGUUCCUCCCAGGAUAUCUUAGAGGUGUCACUCCAAAAUCCUUUCAGGGAUUUAUAUAUGCUAUUCCCCAGGGCAGUGAAUUCAAAAGUGCUAAUGGGCAUCUUCUAUGAGGCAAUUGUAUAAGUAGGUUUUUUUUCUUUUGAGAACAGGUACUCGCUGUUACUUUAGAUUCUUCUACAUUUUCGGAGGGGUAGAAUUAAUGACUGAUUAGUCUAACACUGCAUACAGCUCACAUUUAAAGUCAUAGACACCACUUUGCAAUACAGAUUUCUACAACUUGGCAAUGCUUCCUGAAGAAGUUUAUUAUAAUGCAAGGAAAUUUCGGGGCUUUCUGAUGCCCACUGUCUAGGUUAUAGUUUCUUUUCAUUCAAAAGGAAACUUGAGAGGAAACAUUAAAAUACACUCACAGUACACUGUGGACAAGUUUGGGCUUGAAAACCUUCAUAAUGUUGUCCUUAUUCUGUGGUUAUCUUCAUCACCAAGUAAAUCUCAAGAGCUUCAUAUAAAUGGAUUUAAAACAUUUUUGUGGUUUCUCAUACUUCAACUUUCUUCCUCACUGGCAGUCCAGUGAAUCUACAGGAAGUGAAGGAAAGGGAAAGAAAACCUGAAAUUGUGUAGUUACUCACAUAGGUGAGGCCCAUGUCUCUGACCGGGGCCAAACAUGCCACUUUGGAGAGUAGACAUUUUCAAGGGUGAAAAGAAGAUUAGAAAUUAGCCUGAGAUUUCUGAUCCAGUCAUUUGCAAUGUCAGUCAUACUAUUUUCUAAGUUUUAAAGCUAUUUUUAGAUGUGUCUAAAAUGUUGACAGUCCCAACAAGUUCUCUGGAUAAUAUAUGGCAAAUUUUACUAUUUUAUCAAAAAGAUGGCAGAUAUUUUAUUCCCUGAACCAAAAAUGUAUAUUCUUUUUAAAAUACAUUGCUGAUUUGUGUGUUUACACUAUUACUCAUAUGAUAAAUAAUCAACAAUAAUAAUUUUAUUAUUUUUAAGCACACACAAUAUGUAUACAUAAAAAAUCUUGUUUAAUAAUUCUAACAAAUCUUGAAUGUAAACAUUAUUACUAUUAUUUUGCCUAUGAGAAUAAGAAUAGUCUAACUCCUGUUUUACAGUUAACACACUGACAGAAUUGCCUAACACCAAAGCAUGGGGUUAAAAUUAAAAUAAAAAGAAGGAAAUCGAGCUGUUAUCCAUACACUUCUCCAUACAAUUAAUCUGGAGAGAUGAAAGUAAUUAUUAUUAGUUUGUUAAGAUAAUCUAUACAAUAGGGUAGAACUAUUAGGCCCAAUUUUCUGAUGAAGGCUGAGGUUCACAAAAUUGUAAAUUAUUGACAUGAAUUUUUUGAUAUUGAGUAAGUAUUAAGUAGCAGAAUCAGGACUGUGUAACUUCUCACAAUGUGUCUUUCCUUAUUGCUUAAAAUUAAACAAAGAGAAAAUCAUGUCAUUCUGAUUCUAAUCAAUAUAAUCAAGGCAGAAUUUCUAUAGGAUGUACUGCUUUUAUUCCAAUAGUUAGUUAGUAUAAAACUACCCAAUUUGUGUAUGCCAGUUUGGGGAUAUUCAAAUGCCCUUGGAGAGAAUUGUGCAAUAGAAAUACAGGUAAUGGGCCAGCAGGGUCUGAUAUGAAGUAGCAGUAUUUACUUUGUAUUGAAUUUUGGAAAGGUUUUUUGCAUCCUAAAUUUAAGGACUUUGAAAGUUUAGAAUUAGAAUAACCUCUUGAACUAAAAUCUGACUACAAUAUUCCUCCAGGUUCCAUUACAAAUUCAGAGUCAUCUUACUCUGGGGAUUCUUCAUUCCCUUGACUGGCCAGUGAAUUUCUUCUGCAUCCUCUCACCUGCAGGUGGGUCAGUGGAACAGCUGAAUAUCUCCAUGCAUUAGUUUUCCCAAGGUCAUGCCAUCUGACCUGAGUCCAAGGCUUCUGAGAAGAAAGCCCAUAGCAAAAGGACAGAAACUGUGAGGAAAUCUGGAACGAUUGUGAAAAUGAGCAGAUUCUCCUAGUGAAGAUAUCAGUGACUCACCAUCCUAAAAAGAGAGCCUCUAGCAAGAAGUGUGAAGAAUUGAGACUUUAGACAAAAUGGAGUAACAUAACUUACUCAAAGUCUUCAAACAAGGAAUUGUUAGGGUUUUGCCCACAUCUACUGAUA